Molecule: unclassified non-coding RNA, 668 nt
Filed under: uncultured fungus
Lineage: Eukaryota; Fungi
Description: sequence contains 18S rRNA gene, ITS1, 5.8S rRNA gene, ITS2, 28S rRNA gene
Source: RNAcentral
GCUCCGGACCCGGAACGGCGCAUGCCGCGGACUGGAUUCUCGGCCGGGGCUAUCCCUUGAAGGUCGUCAGACAACGCGGCGACUGGCUCGAAGUGCGCGAUUUUGAGAACGACAAGGGAUGGAUCAAUCGGCGGCUGACCAGCAGCACGCCGUAUCACAUCGUGAAGGUCAAGGUCGCCAACAUGCGCAGCCAGCCGACGACGAGCAGCCGGAUCAUCGGCAAGUUCGUCUAUGGCGUCACGCUGAGGACGCUCGAGCGCAAGAGCGGCUGGGUCAAGGUUCAGCGCGAAGGCUUGCGGGGGUGGGUCGCGCGGCGCCUGCUCUGGGGCUGGUAGUCUCGGCCUCGGCGCAAGCCUCGGCUUGCGCGCUGCGACGUGGCGCCCUCACGCGUGUCGCCGUCACGCCGACAGCACGGCUUCAACCGUCGAACCGAGCCGGCACGAUGCCGCGAUGCUGGUCGAUAGCACGAGCGGAGUACGAUAGCCGGCGUGCCGACUUGGCCUGCCGCCGCCAACCAUGAUGCCGGCUCUGGCACUGAAACUGCGGACGUGCCGCAGUGGUCCAGCGGCCUAAUUUUGACCUGCCAUGCAACCGCCUCGCAUGUCGCGAUCUUCCUUUGCCGAAACAUGCCGGCGACCUGAAGGGCCUCAGCGCCCGGGGGUAUUCAA